Molecule: long non-coding RNA, 201 nt
Filed under: Brassica napus (rape)
Lineage: Eukaryota; Viridiplantae; Streptophyta; Magnoliopsida; Brassicales; Brassicaceae
Description: long non-coding RNA (BNAP_LNC025514)
Source: RNAcentral
ACAUGUCAUCAUCAAUUUUACUAACAUUUUUCGUGGACUACAAACAUCAUUCUAAAAGACCAAAUGACAUCUAUGUACUUGCUCACGACACAAUUAGGCCCAAUAUCCUUUAUGAAUCCAUUCAAGCAAAACCAGCAACUCUACCAACGUCUUCCACCUUCGCUGCAACCUUUCAUUAUCCUUUCUUCACUGUUUAGGAAC